Molecule: ribosomal RNA, 440 nt
Filed under: uncultured bacterium
Lineage: Bacteria
Description: bacterial SSU rRNA
Rfam family: Bacterial small subunit ribosomal RNA
Source: RNAcentral
AACGCGAAGAACCUUACCUGGGCUCGAAAUGUAGAGGACGUUACAAGAGAUUGUAAUUCCCGAAAGGGUCUCUAUAUAGGUGCUGCAUGGCUGUCGUCAGCUCGUGCCGUGAGGUGUUUGGUUAAGUCCAGCAACGAGCGCAACCCUUAUCGUUAGUUGCCAACGCGUAAUGGCGGGAACUCUAACGAGACUGCCUAGGUUAACUAGGAGGAAGGUGAGGAUGACGUCAAGUCCGCAUGGCCUUUAUGUCCAGGGCUACACACGUGCUACAAUGGUCGGUACAGAAGGCAGCGAAACCGUGAGGUGGAGCAAAUCCUACAAAACCGAUCUCAGUUCAGAUUGCAGUCUGCAACUCGGCUGCAUGAAGUUGGAAUUGCUAGUAAUGGCGUGUCAGCAACAACGCCGUGAAUACGUUCCCGGGCCUUGUACACACCGCAUAC